RNAcentral lists this ribosomal RNA (496 nucleotides) under uncultured bacterium. RNAcentral's name for it is "partial 16S ribosomal RNA". It matches the Rfam family "Bacterial small subunit ribosomal RNA", at positions 28 to 507 of the family's 1533-position model. The record is from RNAcentral.
GAUGAACGCUGGCGGCGUGCCUAAUACAUGCAAGUCGAGCGAACAGGCGAGGAGCUUGCUCCUUCGACGUUAGCGGCGGACGGGUGAGUAACACGUAGGUAACCUACCUAUAAGACUGGGAUAACUUCGGGAAACCGGAGCUAAUACCGGAUAAUAUUUCGAACCGCAUGGUUCGAUAGUGAAAGAUGGCUUUGCUAUCACUUAUAGAUGGACCUGCGCCGUAUUAGUUAGUUGGUAAGGUAACGGCUUACCAAGGCAACGAUACGUAGCCGACCUGAGAGGGGGUUGGGCACCCCAGAAACUGACCAACGGCCCAGCUCCUAAGGGAGGGCCGAGUAAGGGACCCUUCCGAACUGGGGGAAACCUUGCCGAAGAAACGCGGGGUGGGUGAGGAAGGUCUCCGAGCGGUAAAACGGUGUUAUUGGGGAAAACCAAACUUGUAAGUAACGGUGCACGUCUGACGGUAACCUAUCAGAAAGCCACGGCUAACUACGUG